This 6600-nucleotide long non-coding RNA is filed under the name Populus trichocarpa (black cottonwood). Its description in RNAcentral is "long non-coding RNA (PTRI_LNC001647)". The record is from RNAcentral. Lineage: Eukaryota; Viridiplantae; Streptophyta; Magnoliopsida; Malpighiales; Salicaceae.
UAAAAGAUUGUUCCCACAUGAUCACCAACCUUAUUCUAUCACAUAAAAUCUUUAUAACGAAGGAAGAAGACCCAAUAUGCAGCCAAAACUGACCCCAACAUUUCAACAUAGACAACUAGCUAGCUAGACAAGGUUAUGACAUGAGCAUAAGUAAUGCAAUUGUUUAAUUUGAUCAGAUCGACACCAUACUACUGACCAAAUGCUUAAAGCAAUAUCGACAUUCUAGAUGCUUUCACAUGAUUGUGCAUGACGAGGGAUUAUCUUCACAGACAUAUUCACAUCUGCACACAUAGUAACCGCUUCUUUGGCAACCACAGCCGCCGCCGCUGCCAGCCCAACUAUCAUACACUGGCCUUCCAUAAGCUUCAUAACAUGGGGGUGCUGGCCUAGCAUUGUCAUGAUAACACGGGCCUCCACUAAUCCCAUGGUAGCAUUCAGCACAACAUGUCCUUGGGUGGACUGGUUCCGGAGCUUUAGGUGGUGGUGGUCGUGUCGGGUUUGGAGCUGGGAUUGGGGCGGGUGCUGGCCUCCUAUAGUCAUGAUAACACGGGCCUCCACUAAUCCCAUGGUAGCAUUCAUCACAACAUGUCCUUGGGUGGACUGGUUCCGGAGCUUUAGGUGGUGGUGCCGGGUUUGGAGCUGGGAUUAGGAAGGGUGCUGGCCUCCUAUGGUCAUGAUAACAUGGGCCUCCACUAAUCCCAUGGUAGCAUUCAGCACAACAUGUCCUUCGGUGGACUGGUGCCGGUUUCUCUGGUUCUUUGGGUUUCUCUGGUUCUUUGGGUUUCUCCGGUUCUUUGGGUUUCUCUGGUUCUUUGGGCUUCUCCGGUUCUUUGGGAUUCUCCGGUUGCUUAGGCUUUUCAGGUUCUUUCGGCUUCUCCGGUUCUUUAGGUUUAGAUGGUGGUGCUUUGGGUUUCUCUGGAACCUUGAUCUCAAUGCUCUGGACAGCUUCACCUCCUUUACAGAUUAUCUUUUCCUUGAUCUUUUCAGGACUGCAACAUACCACAGUGAUGGUCACUGUGCCUGCCUUCUUGUCAUAUAUCUGGUUCUGAAUUUCUCUUGUUCACAAUCCACAAAAACAACUUAGCCACUUUCCUUUCAUCUUAAAACUGCUCAAACUAAGUUAUUAUACAUGGAGAAGGAGGCACUCACGAGGGAUUCUACACAGUACUUUCUUGAUUUUCUUGUGGCAUUUCUUACAUUCAAGGUCAACCUUGAUCACCAUUAUUGUGACUUUCUGCAAUACGAGCACAUAAAAACAAGGACAUUCUAAGCCAAGAAGAAUAUUGAAAGGACUGGAACACUUUCUGACAUGGAAGGAUAUUGAUCAGUAAAGAUAAUGAACAAGAAGAUGAGGUCCAUAGGGCCAAAAACAAGGACCACAACACAUAAAAAGAAGAAAAACCCAGAUGAAUGGACUAAAUAAAAGAUAAAUCUAAACCAAUAAAAGAAGAAGAAGGAAAAUGUAUCAAAAUCUCCACAUCCAUCCAUGCACAUACCUUUUCAGCCAUGGUUUUGUCGAAGCUUUGAUCUGGACCUGAUGAGAUGAUAGAAUUGAGAGCAGAGUGAAGGAACAGACCAGAGGGUGAGAGGGAGAUAUAGAGGCUUCUAAAAUUAAGAUUGAUCACAACUUAAGUAGUAGAAGUGUGAGACCAAAGUUUAAAUACCGUGCAUCUAGAGGCCAAUAAGAAGAGAACACAUGGGAUUGGGUGUUGAGCUUGACGUCAUAUUGUCGUUUUCUUUUUUAUUGCUGACCCUCCAAACCUGCGUAUGCAAGCGCUGGCUUUGAUGGACACAUCUCACCUUCAAUUUUGUUAAUCAUUUCGAAGGCUGUUGUGCAUCCUACGGUGCAUUAGUUCAGUCAUGUCAAUAAAUGAGCCAUGCAAACCCCAUGACAACCGUACACGUGUCCCAAAAAAAUUCACCAUAAAAAAUUAAAAAUCUUCAAUUAAUAUUUCCAUAUCUCAUGUUAAAAGAAUUUAGCCGGUGUUUGAUUGUUGUUUCCUGAUAAAAACAUAGAAAACUUGAAUUAUAAAUUUAUUUUAAAAUUAUUACAAAAAACAAUUUUAUUUUAUAUUCUUAUUUUUAUCCUCCGUUCUACACUAACAACACAUAAUUUGAAGAGGUAUUAUAAUUCUAAUUAACGAGCUCCUCUGUUUCAAAAUUUGGAUUUAUAAAGUAACAUAAGAACACAUAUCUCUUUAACAACUUGUCCAAAUUGGAUUAAUUUUUUAUGAUACAUGUAAGGUAAUUAGUUGUAUUUUUUAAUAAAAAGAUAAUUAGAACAAAAAUAAUUAAUAAGUUGUGAUAUUUGUAUUACUCUCUCUUGUAUUUAUAUUUUUUCUAAAAGUACAUCUUAUAAAAUAAUUAAUAAAUUAUUACUAAUUCCCAUCAUCACCAUGGAAUACUUCAUAUAAUCUAAACGACAAAAAUCUGUAUAAUUAUAUAUAUAAUGAUAUGAAAACCAGAAAUUAGAAACCCAAGUCGUUAAGCAAGUAGCUCACCGUUUUAUCUCAUCACUUUAACCAUAAAGGUGCUAGGACAUAAAGAAGAAAGUUAACAAAUUGUGGGCCCAGAAGUUGCGUCCAUGAGUGCCGACUUUGAAAGCUGAGGCAGGUUUAACUAAUCGUUUGAAAUUACGGUCAACUGUAUUUUUUAAAAUUUUAAUUUUUUAAUAUAUAUAUAUAUAUUUGAUUGUUUUGAUAUACUGGUACAAGAAUAAAUCUUGAAAAAUAAAAAUUAUAUGUUUUAUUUUAAUAUAUUUUCAAUAAUGUUAGUGUUUAGAGAGCAACUAAUAUAAAUUUCGUAGUCGGCAACUUUACAUAAUCUCAUAUCAACAAAUCAGGAGAAGGAAGGGAACUGCUCAUUCAUGGUAGAAUUCUUAUCGCCAAGUACGAUGAUGGGAUCAUGACAGUCCACAUUCCAUUAUCUAGAUGGAUCAUGCAUGACCUAAAUUUCUGACAGCGAAGCUUGAUAACGUUUACAAAACAAAAACCAUCGAUCAGUUACUGUCAGAAAUUAAAGAAAGCAAAUGGAAAGUGAAUGGAAGGGAGAUGCUGAGAUGCACCAUCACUGUAUAUACAAAUAGCAAUGAUUAUGGAAGCUUUAAAAUCUCCCUUAUAUUAAUUUAUUAAAAAUCUUAACAUCUCUUGUAAUAAAAUAUUGUGCCCACAUCACCAACCUUAUUGUAUCACAUAAAAUCUCUAAAACGAAGGAAGAAGACCCAAUAUGCAGCCAAAACUGACUAGCUAGACAAGGUUAUGACAUGAGCAUGAGCAAUGCUAUUGUUUAAUUUGAUCAUAUCGACACGAUACUACUGUCCAAAUCCAGUGAUUUUUGGUGGAAAUCGGCUUAAGGCAAUAUCGACAUUCUAGAUGCUUUCACAUGAUUGUGCAUGACGAGGGAUUAUCUUCACAGACAUAUUCACAUCUGCACACAUAGUAACCGCUUCUUUGGCAACCACAGCCGCCGCCGCCGCCGCCACCCCAAUUAUCAUACACUGGCCUUCCAUAAGCUUCAUAACUCGGGGGUGCUGGCCUACCAUAGUCAUGAUAACAUGGGCCUCCACUAAUCCCAUGGUAGCAUUCAGCACAACAUGUCCUUGGGGGGACUGGUUCCGGAGCUUUAGGUGGUGGUGGUGCCGGGUUUGGAGCUGGGUUUGGGGCCGGUUCUUUGGGUUUUGGUGUUUCAACAAUAAGCGCUUUAGGCUUCUCCGGUUCUUUGGGUUUCUCCGGUUCUUUGGGCUUCUCCGGUUCUUUGGGUUUCUCCGGUUCUUUGGGCUUCUCCGGUUCUUUGGGUUUCUCCGGUUCUUUGGGCUUCUCUGGUUCUUUGGGUUUCUCCGGUUCUUUGGGCUUCUCUGGUUGCUUAGGCUUCUCAGGUUCUUUCGGCUUCUCCGGUUCUUUGGGUUUCUCUGGUGCUGCUUUGGGAUUCUCUGGUGCUUUGGGUUUCUCUGGAACCUUGAUCUCAAUGCUCUUGACAGCUUCACCUCCUUUACAGACUAUCUUUUCCUUGAUCUUUUCAGGACUGCAACAUACCACAGUGAUGGUCACUGUGCCUGCCUUCUUGUCAUAUAUCUGGUUCUGAAUUUCUCUUGUUCACAAUCCACAAAAAUUAACCACUUAGCCACUUUCAUUUCAUCUUGAAACAGCUCAAACUAAGUUAUAAUACAUGGAGAAGCUAGGAGGCACUCACGAGGGAUUCUACACAGUACUUUCUUGAUUUUCUUGUGGCAUUUCUCGCAUUCAAGGUCAACCUUCAUCACCAUUAUUGUGACUUUCUGCAAUAGGAGCACAUAAAAACAAGGACAAAAUUUCUAAGCCAGGAAGAAUAUUGAAAGGACUGGAACACUUUCUGACAUGGAAGGAUAUUGAUCAGUAAAGAUAAUGAAAAAGAAGAUGAGGUCCGUAGGGCCAAAAACAAGGACCACCGCAUAAAAAGAAUAAAAACCCAGACGAAUGGGCUAAAUAAAAGAUAAAUCGAAACCAAGAAAAGAAGAAGAAGGAAAUAUAUCAAAAUCUCCACAUCCAUCCAUGCACAUACCUUUUCAGCCAUGGUUUUGUCCAAGCCUUGAUCUGAGCCUGAUGAGAUGAUAGAAUUGAGAGCAGAGUGAAGGAACGGACCAGAGGGUCAGAGGGAGAUUGAGAUACGAAAAGGAGGCUUAUAAAAUGAAGAUUGAUCACAACUUAAGUAGUAGAAGUGUGGGGACAUAGUUUAAAUACCGCGCAUCUAGUAGGCAAUAAGAAGAGAACACGUGGCAUUGGGUGUUGAGCUUGACGUAAUAUUGUCGUUUCAUUUUUAAUUGCUGACCCUCCGAUCAUGCACAUGCAUGUGCUGGCUUUGAUGGACACAUCUCACCUUCAAUUUUGUUAAUCAUUUCGAAGGUUGUAGUGCAUCCUACGGCGCAUUAGUUUAGUCAUGUCAAUAAAUGAGCCAUGCAACCCCCAUGACAACCGUACACGUGUCCCCAAAAAACUCCCCUCAUAAAAUUAAAAAUCUUCAAUUAAUAUUUCCAUAUCUCAUGUGUAAAAGAAUUUAGAAAACAUGAAUUAUUGUAUUUAUUAUUUUACCAUGAAUAUGAGAAAUGAGAAAUUAGAAACCCAAGUCGUAAAGCAAGUAGCUCAUCGUUUUAUCUUAUCCCUAUGUGUGGAUAUAAAGAAGAAAGUUAACAAAUUGUGGGCCCAGAAGUUGCGUCCAUGAGUGCCAACUUUGAAAGCUGAGGCAGGUUUAACUAACCGUUUGAAAUUGCGUUCAACUGCUUUUUAAAAAAAAACAUUUAUUUUUAAAUUUUUAUUUUAUAUAUCUUUAGAUUAUUUUACGAUGGCAUGAAGAAUAAAUUCAAAAAAAAAUUCAAAAAACAAUCCCAGCAAAAUCAUUAUUGCUUUCCAGAAUUGUUGAGAGGAAUCACAUGAAUCUAAUUUGAAGUUUGGGCCUCUACUCUGCAGGUCAUGAAAGUAGAGAAUCCAAGGAAAGCCAUGUGCCAGUCCAUUAUCUAUGUUUUCUGAAUGACAAACUGGGUUUCAUUAACACUGAGCUUAGCCCAUGUUUCACAGGGCAUAUUAAUCAGCCCAUCACUUCCAUGGCUAUACCAGGACUGGCUAAGAAGCCCGGAGGCUAAAACAGGCCUGCAAGCAACACAUAUUGCUUUGCUCCGGGUCAAAUAUUAUUCUUUCUAGUAGAAAGAAUGAAUAAAUAUGUUUUUUUUAUUAUGUUUUUUAAUUUAAAAAAUUCUUAUUUUAAACAAAAAAAAACUUUAUAUAUUCAUCCAAUUAAAUAAAUUGAAAAUUUGAUUGUAUAACCAUAGUUGAUGUAGAAUCUGGCUCGAACCAAGUUUUAUAUUAUUGGAGUGACUGUUCGCUCGAUUAACCUAGAUGAUGAGACUCAACUUGAUAAAUUACUUGGAUUUUUUAAAUGUGUAUUAAAAAUAACAUUUUUAGACUUUUUUUUAACCAAAACAAUAUCAUUUUAUGAUAUAUCUGGAUUGAUAUAUGAUAAACUUUCUAACCCAUUAAACAUUUAUUUACAACGUGAGAGAAUAGGAAUCCCAUAUAUUGACCCGAAGGAGAUGCUGAUUGAUAACGUUUACAAACAAAAGCCAUCGACCAGUUACUGUCAGAAAUUAAAGAAAGCAAAUAGAAAGUGAAUGGAAAGGAGAUGACCAUCACUAUAUAUAUACAAAUAGCAGUGAUUAUGGAAGCUUUAAAAUCCCUUAUAUUAAUUUAUUAAAAAUCUUAACAACUCUUGUAAUAAAAUAUUGUUCCCACAUGAUCACCAACCUUAUUGUAUCACAUAAAAUCUUUAUAACGAAGGAAGAAGACCCAAUAUGCAGCCAAAACUGACUAGCUAGACAAGGUUAUGACAUGAGCAUGGGUAAUGCUAUUGUUUAAUUUGAUCAUAUCGACACGAUACUACUGUCCAAAUCCAGUGAUUUUAGGUGGAGAUCGGCUUAAAGCAUCGACAUUCUUGAUGCUUUCACAUGAUUGUGCAUGACGAGGGAUUAUCUUCACAAACAUAUUCACAUCGGCACGCAUAGUAACCGCUUCUUUGGCAACCACAGCCGCCGCUGCCACCCCAACUAUCAUGCACUGGCCUUCCAUAAAUUUCAUA